RNAcentral lists this small nuclear RNA (152 nucleotides) under Pogona vitticeps (central bearded dragon). RNAcentral describes it as "U1 spliceosomal RNA (ENSPVIG00000022551.1)". The stretch from base 1 to 133 matches the Rfam family "U1 spliceosomal RNA". From Rfam's summary of the family: U1 is a small nuclear RNA (snRNA) component of the spliceosome (involved in pre-mRNA splicing). Lineage: Eukaryota; Metazoa; Chordata; Lepidosauria; Squamata; Agamidae. The record is from RNAcentral.
GUACGUACCUGGCAAGGGAGAUACCAUGGCCGUGAAGGGGGUUUUCCCAGGGUGAGGCUCAUCCAUUGCAUUCUGGGUGUACUGAUCCCCGUGAUUUCCCCAAAUGCGGGAAACAUGACUACAUAAUCUUCUCAGUGGUCACCCCCUGACUU